UCCCUGAUGGUCCAGUGGUUAAGACUUUGUGCUUCCACUGUAGAGGCAGUGGGUUCAAUUCCUAGUCAGAGAA
RNAcentral lists this transfer RNA (73 nucleotides) under Bos taurus (domestic cattle). It matches the Rfam family "tRNA". From Rfam's summary of the family: Transfer RNA (tRNA) molecules are approximately 80 nucleotides in length. Their secondary structure includes four short double-helical elements and three loops (D, anti-codon, and T loops). Lineage: Eukaryota; Metazoa; Chordata; Mammalia; Artiodactyla; Bovidae. The record is from Rfam by way of RNAcentral. RNAcentral also lists the same sequence under 3 other names.